CUUGGUCAUUAGAGGAAGUAAAAGUCGUAACAAGGUCUCCGUAGGUGAACCUGCGGAGGGAUCAUUACCGAGUUCAUGCCCUUACGGGUAGAUCUCCCACCCUAUGUUAUCUUACCUUUGUUGCUUUGGCGGGCCGACAGGCUUCGGUCAGUCUACCGGCUCCGGCUGGUAAGCGCCCGCCAGAGGACCCCAAACUCUGAAUUUUAGUGUCGUCUGAGUACUAUCUAAUAGUUAAAACUUUCAACAACGGAUCUCUUGGUUCUGGCAUCGAUGAAGAACGCAGCGAAAUGCGAUAAGUAAUGUGAAUUGCAGAAUUCAGUGAAUCAUCGAAUCUUUGAACGCACAUUACACCCUUGAGUAUUCUCAGGGGUAUGCCUGUUCGAGCGUCAUUGCAACCCUCAAGCACUGCUUGGUAUUGGAUGCCAUCAACUGUGGUGCAUCUCAAAAGUAUUAGUGGCAGCGUUCAGCUUCUAGUGUAGUAAUUUCUCGCUCUGGAGUUUUGAGCGCCUGUCUGCUAGAACCCCUAAUUUUUAAAAGGUUGACCUCGGAUCAGGUAGGGAUACCCGCUGAACUUAAGCAUAUCAAUAAGCGGAGGAA
This 597-nucleotide small RNA is filed under the name uncultured Helotiales. RNAcentral's name for it is "eukaryotic LSU rRNA". The stretch from base 236 to 389 matches the Rfam family "5.8S ribosomal RNA". The record is from RNAcentral. Lineage: Eukaryota; Fungi; Ascomycota; Leotiomycetes; Helotiales.